Molecule: ribosomal RNA, 449 nt
Filed under: uncultured bacterium
Lineage: Bacteria
Description: bacterial SSU rRNA
Rfam family: Bacterial small subunit ribosomal RNA
Source: RNAcentral
AACGAACGCUGGCGGCAGGCCUAACACAUGCAAGUCGAACGCUCCAGCAAUGGAGAGUGGCAGACGGGUGAGUAACGCGUGGGAACCUUCCCUAUGGUUCGGAAUAGCUCAGGGAAACUUGAGGUAAUACCGGAUAAGCCCUUCGGGGAAGGAUUUAUCGCCAUUGGAUGGGCCCGCGUAGGAUUAGCUAGUUGGUGAGGUAACGGCUCACCAAGGCGACGAUCCUUAGCUGGUCUGAGAGGAUGAUCAGCCACACUGGGACUGAGACACGGCCCAGACUCCUACGGGAGGCAGCAGUGGGGAAUAUUGGACAAUGGGCGCAAGCCUGAUCCAGCCAUGCCGCGUGAGUGACGAAGGCCUUAGGGUUGUAAAGCUCUUUUGGCGGGGAAGAUAAUGACGGUACCCGCAGAAUAAGCUCCGGCUAACUUCGUGCCAGCCGCCGCCGUAAC